RNAcentral lists this ribosomal RNA (497 nucleotides) under uncultured bacterium. RNAcentral describes it as "partial 16S ribosomal RNA". It matches the Rfam family "Bacterial small subunit ribosomal RNA", at positions 28 to 507 of the family's 1533-position model. The record is from RNAcentral.
GACGAACGCUGGCGGCGUGCCUAAUACAUGCAAGUUGAGCGCUGAAGGUUGGUACUUGUACCAACUGGAUGAGCAGCGAACGGGUGAGUAACGCGUGGGGAAUCUGCCUUUGAGCGGGGGACAACAUUUGGAAACGAAUGCUAAUACCGCAUAAAAACUUUAAACACAAGUUUUAAGUUUGAAAGAUGCAAUUGCAUCACUCAAAGAUGAUCCCGCGUUGUAUUAGCUAGUUGGUGAGGUAAAGGCUCACCAAGGCGAUGAUACAUAGCCGACCUGAGAGGGUGAUCGGCCACAUUGGGAAUGAGACACGGCCCAAACUCCUACGGGAGGCAGCAGUAGGGAAUCUUCGGAAAUGGACGAAAGUCUGACCGAGCACCGCCGCGUGAGUGAAGAAGGUUUUCGGAUCGUAAAACUCUGUUGGUAGAGAAGAACGUUGGUGAGAGUGGAAAGCUCAUCAAGUGACGGUAACUACACAGAAAGGGACGGCUAACUACGUG